GUAUGUAGCUCAGUGGUAUAUCACUUGCCUAGCAUGUGUGAGGCACUGGGUUCAAUCCUCAGCAUCACA
RNAcentral lists this transfer RNA (69 nucleotides) under Marmota monax (woodchuck). RNAcentral's name for it is "tRNA.Ala". The record is from RNAcentral. Lineage: Eukaryota; Metazoa; Chordata; Mammalia; Rodentia; Sciuridae.